This 106-nucleotide ribosomal RNA is filed under the name uncultured bacterium. RNAcentral's name for it is "partial 16S ribosomal RNA". It matches the Rfam family "Bacterial small subunit ribosomal RNA", at positions 1379 to 1482 of the family's 1533-position model. The record is from RNAcentral.
CCUUGUACACACCGCCCGUCACACCAUGGGAGUUAGCUGUACCGGAAGUCGGUGAGCCAACCCGUAAGGGGGGCAGCCGCCUAUGGUAUGGCUGGUAACUGGGGUG